CAGCAGCCGCGGUAAUACGUAGGUGGCAAGCGUUGUCCGGACUUAUUGGGCGUAAAGCGCGCGCAGGCGGUUCCUUAAGUCUGAUGUGAAAUCUCGCGGCUCAACCGUGAGCGGUCAUUGGAAACUGGGGAACUUGAGUGCAGGAGAGAAGAGCGGAAUUCCACGUGUAGCGGUGAAAUGCGUAGAGAUGUGGAGGAACACCAGUGGCGAAGGCGGCUCUUUGGCCUGUAACUGACGCUGAGGCGCGAAAGCGUGGGGAGCAAACAGGAUUAGAUACCCUGGUAGUCCACGCCGUAAACGAUGAGUGCUAGGUGUUAGAGGGUUUCCGCCCUUUAGUGCUGCAGCUAACGCAUUAAGCACUCCGCCUGGGGAGUACGGCCGCAAGGCUGAAACUUAAAGGAAUUGGCGGG
Molecule: ribosomal RNA, 410 nt
Filed under: uncultured microorganism
Description: bacterial SSU rRNA
Rfam family: Bacterial small subunit ribosomal RNA
Source: RNAcentral